Molecule: ribosomal RNA, 2134 nt
Filed under: gut metagenome
Description: bacterial LSU rRNA
Rfam family: Bacterial large subunit ribosomal RNA
Source: RNAcentral
AUGGGGGGACCACCCUCCAACCCUAAAUACUACCCAGUGACCGAUAGCGUAUAGUACUGUGAAGGAAAGGUGAAAAGGACCCCGGGAGGGGAGUGAAAGAGAACCUGAAACCUUGUGCCUACAAGCACAUAGAGCCCGUCAAAGGGUGAUAUGGUACUUUUUGUAGAACGGUCCGGCGAGCGAUUGUACGUUGCGAGCUUAAGGUCUUAAGGACUGGAGGCGUAGCGAGAGCGAGUCUAAACAGGGCGUUUAGUAGCGUGCAAUGGGCCCGAAACCGGGUGACCUACCCAUGAUCAGGCUGAAGUGAAAGUAAAAUUUCAUGGAGGGCCGAACCGACCUCCGUUGAAAAGGCGGCGGAUGAAUUGUGGGUAGCGGAGAAAUUCCAAUCGAACUCGGAGAUAGCUGGUUCUCCCCGAAAUAGCUUUAGGGCUAGCCUCAUGUUAGAUAUCCGGAGGUAAAGCACUGAAUGGCCUAGCGUCCGAGAGGAUAGCGAAGCCUAUCAAACUAAGAAUGCCGGAAUAUUGAUGCAUGGGAGUCAGACAGUGUGAGAUAAAUCUCAUUGUCAAAAGGGAAACAGCCCAGAUCUACAGCUAAGGUCCCAAAUUGUAUCUAAGUGGAAAACGAUGUGGAAAUACGCAGACAACCAGGAUGUUGGCUCAGAAGCAGCCACUCAUUUAAAGAGUGCGUAAUAGCUCACUGGUCGAGCGUCUCUGCGCGGAAAAUUUAACGGGGCUAAGAUACAAACCGAAGCUUAGGCUGCAUACGGAAGUAUGCGGGGUAGGGGAGCGUUGUGUAAGCGGAGAAACAGUAGCGGAAGCGGCUGUGGAGUUUACAGAAGUGAGAAUGCCGGAAUGAGUAGCGCGAAUGAUGUGAGAAUCAUCAUGGCCGGAAACCUCAGGUUUUUGGAGGAAGGUUCGUCCGCUCCAAGUUAGGCGGGAGCUAAGGUGAGGCCGAAAGGCGUAGCCGAUGCACAGACGGUAGAGAUUCCGUCCCCACCGAAAGAUUUAAGCGCAGGGACACUUUUAGAAGGUCGGAGCCAGGUGUUGGUUCUGGUAGAGAUCGAGGGAAGAUUAGUACCGAAGUCCGGCUGGAUAAGAGGCGAGAAAAGCUGCGUGUAUAUCUAAGGUGCCCGUACCGCAAACCGACACAGGUAGGUAGGAAGAAGAUUCUAAGGCCAACGGGAGAAGGGUUGUUAAGGAACUCGGCAAGUUGACCCCGUAACUUCGGAAUAAGGGGUGCUCAUGAAAGUGAGCCGCAGAGAAUAGGCCCAGGCAACUGUUUACCAAAAACACAGGUUUGUGCUAAAUCGAAAGAUGACGUAUACGAGCUGACGCCUGCCCGGUGCUGGAAGGUUAAAAGGAGAUGUGCAAGCAUUGAAUUGAAGCCCCAGUGAACGGCGGCCGUAACUAUAACGGUCCUAAGGUAGCGAAAUUCCUUGUCAGGUAAGUUCUGACCCGCAUGAAAGGCGUAAUGAUCUGGGCACUGUCUCAACAGCCCGCCCGGCGAAAUUGUAGUACCGGUGAAGAUGCCGGUUACCCGCGACAAGACGGAAAGACCCCAUGGAGCUUUACUGUAGCCUAAUAUUGGGUUUCGGUGUUGCAUGCACAGGAUAGAUGGGACGCUAGGAAGUGAGUGCUUUGGCAUUCAUGGAGCGGCCGUUGGGAUACCAUCCUUGCGACAUUGGAAUUCUAACCUGCGCCUUUGAAUCAAGGCGGGGGACAUUGUUAGGUGGGCAGUUUGACUGGGGCGGUCGCCUCCUAAAGAGUAGCGGAGGCGUUCAAAGGUUGGCUCGUCCUGGACGGAAACCAGGAGAGAGAGUGCAAACGCAAAAGCCAGCCUGACUGCGAGACUGACGGGUCGAGCAGAGACGAAAGUCGGAGUUAGUGAUCCGGUGGUAUGUGAGUGGAAAUGCCAUCGCUCAACGGAUAAAAGUUACCCUGGGGAUAACAGGCUGAUCUCCCCCAAGAGUCCACAUCGACGGGGAGGUUUGGCACCUCGAUGUCGGCUCAUCGCAUCCUGGGGCUGUAUUCGGUCCCAAGGGUUUGGCUGUUCGCCAAUUAAAGCGGUACGCGAGCUGGGUUCAGAACGUCGUGAGACAGUUCGGUCCCUAUCUGUCGUGGGCGCAGGAUAUUUG